UGAUUGACUGGGGUGUGAAAUGUAACAGCCAAUGGUGUACUUAAGCUAAGACUGUCAGUCCCAAUAUUCAAGAGGAAAAACCCCUACAUAAACAAAUACAUGGGCGCAGACAUUUUGGACACCCAAGGUUGUGCGGAGGAGAAAAUACUAGCUGGCGCGUGAUUGGUCAAUAAGAGAAAAGACUUGUUAUGUAUUUGACAAGUGAAAUAAAGUUGAUAAAAAUCUCAUAUCAAGACUUGGGUUUCUUUGAGCAAUGCAUUAUCAAGAAGGAAGAGAUUAAUGAACCCUACCCUCUUACAAUGAACAACACAUUGACACUCUCGGGAUGAUCCCUUUGCUUUCAUUUAGAGUUCCAAGAUGUUGGUCUGAUUGACUGGGGUGUGAAAUGUAACAGCCAAUGGUGUACUUAAGCUAAGACUGUCAGUCCCAAUAUUCAAGAGGAAAAACCCCUACAUAAACAAAUACAUGGGCGCAGACAUUUUGGACACCCAAGGUUGUGCGGAGGAGAAAAUACUAGCUGGCGCGUGAUUGGUCAAUAAGAGAAAAGACUUGUUAUGUAUUUGACAAGUGAAAUAAAGUUGAUAAAAAUCUCAUAUCAAGACUUGGGUUUCUUUGAGCAAUGCAUUAUCAAGAAGGAAGAGAUUAAUGAACCCUACCCUCUUACAAUGAACAACACAUUGACACUCUCGGGAUGAUCCCUUUGCUUUCAUUUAGAGUUCCAAGAUGUUCGUCUGAUUGACUGGGGUGUGAAAUGUAACAGCCAAUGGUGUACUUAAGCUAAGACUGUCAGUCCCAAUAUUCAAGAGGAAAAACCCCUACAUAAACAAAUACAUGGGCGCAGACAUUUUGGACACCCAAGGUUGUGCGGAGGAGAAAAUACUAGCUGGCGCGUGAUUGGUCAAUAAGAGAAAAGACUUGUUAUGUAUUUGACAAGUGAAAUAAAGUUGAUAAAAAUCUCAUAUCAAGACUUGGGUUUCUUUGAGGUAUAUAGGAAUUACAGGUAAAAAUUUGAAGGGAGGGAUGCACUUUGGUUAGAGAUUUUCAUUUGGUGUCAAACGCACCUAGUUGUAAACAAAUGGAAAUUGAAAGUAAAAGU
This is a long non-coding RNA of Saccostrea cuccullata (small rock oyster), 1096 nucleotides long. RefSeq lists it as uncharacterized. The transcript has 8 exons. NCBI's taxonomy places the organism in Eukaryota, Metazoa, Mollusca, Bivalvia, Ostreida, Ostreidae. The record is from RefSeq and is a predicted model, not a curated record.